This is an RNA transcript of Cucurbita maxima (winter squash), 1987 nucleotides long. It is a transcript of the gene named NADP-dependent glyceraldehyde-3-phosphate dehydrogenase, with no coding region annotated. The transcript has 10 exons. The record is from RefSeq and is a predicted model, not a curated record. Lineage: Eukaryota; Viridiplantae; Streptophyta; Magnoliopsida; Cucurbitales; Cucurbitaceae.
UAUUUAAUCCACCAAAACCCAUCUCCCAAAUUCAUCCACGUACUCCCCUGUUUUCAUCUCUUCAAUUUCUUCUUCUCUCUAAAGAAUCUCCCCCAAAUUCCCCAAUCCCCGUUUCUUUUCUCAUCAUUUUCCAUGGCGGGUAAUGGAGUUUUUGCAGAGAUUCUCGACGGUGAAGUUUACAAAUACUAUUCCGAAGGUGAGUGGAAGAAAUCCUCCUCCGGGAAGAGCGUCGCCAUUAUCAACCCCACUUCGAGGAAGACGCAGUACAGAGUUCAAGCUUGUAACCAAGAGGAGGUUAAUCAAGUGAUGGAAAUAGCCAAAACUGCUCAGAAAUCAUGGGCUAAGACUCCAUUGUGGAAGAGAGCUGAGCUUCUUCAUAAAGCAGCUGCAAUUUUGAAAGAACAUAAAGCACCCAUUGCUGAGUGUUUGGUGAAGGAAAUUGCAAAACCAGCUAAAGAUGCAGUGACUGAGGUUGUGAGGUCUGGGGAUCUUGUUUCAUAUUGUGCUGAAGAAGGUGUUAGGCUCUUGGGAGAAGGGAAGUUCUUGGUUUCUGAUAGUUUUCCUGGAAAUGAAAGGACCAAAUAUUGCCUUACUUCCAAGAUCCCACUUGGUGUGAUCUUAGCCAUUCCUCCAUUUAACUAUCCUGUCAAUCUGGCUGUCUCGAAAAUUGCACCGGCUUUGAUUGCUGGAAAUUCGAUCGUCCUCAAGCCUCCAACUCAGGGUGCUGUUUCCGCUCUUCAUAUGGUGCAUUGCUUCCAUCUUGCUGGUUUUCCUAAAGGCCUUAUUAGUUGUGUCACUGGUAAAGGUUCUGAGAUUGGUGAUUUCCUCACGAUGCAUCCCGGUGUAGACUGUAUAAGCUUUACUGGUGGAGAUACUGGUAUUGCGAUUUCAAAGAAGGCAGGCAUGAUACCUCUUCAAAUGGAACUAGGAGGCAAAGACGCCUGCAUUGUUCUCGAGGAUGCAGAUCUCGAUUUAGUCGCUGCAAACAUCAUAAAGGGAGGCUUUUCUUACAGUGGCCAAAGGUGCACCGCCGUCAAGGUUGUUUUGGUAAUGGAGUCCGUAGCAGAUGCUUUGGUUGAGAAAGUAAAUGCCCGGGUGGCUAAACUAACUGUCGGUGCCCCGGAAGACGACUCAGACAUUACUCCAGUCGUGACCGAGUCGUCGGCAAAUUUCAUCGAAGGGUUGGUAUUGGAUGCAAAGGAAAAGGGAGCAACAUUUUGCCAAGAGUACAGAAGAGAAGGCAACCUGAUAUGGCCCUUGUUAUUAGAUAAUAUUAGACCUGAUAUGAGGAUUGCAUGGGAAGAACCCUUUGGACCAGUUUUACCGGUCAUAAGAAUCAGCUCCAUUGAAGAAGGAAUCCACCAUUGCAAUGCUAGCAACUUUGGACUUCAGGGAUGUGUCUUCACAAAAGACAUCAACAAGGCGAUAUUGAUAAGCGACGCAAUGGAAACCGGGACAGUUCAAAUCAACUCUGCGCCCGCUCGAGGACCCGAUCAUUUCCCAUUCCAGGGAAUCAAGGACAGUGGAAUUGGCUCUCAAGGAGUGACCAACAGCAUCAACAUGAUGACCAAAGUGAAGACCACAGUGAUCAACUUGCCAACGCCUUCCUACACCAUGGGUUAGUUUGUUUGUCUGUUAGCUUUUAGGAGCCUGCUAGCUAGCUCGCUAUCUGCCAUAGCCUUAAGCUAAGUAUAGUUCUUCCCUUAUCUUCCCCUUUGUGUAAUGAAAUUAAUAGCAAGUAGCUGAGUUGUAUGCAUGUUAAUUAUUGCCAUUUGAUUGGCUCCCUUUGUGUGCUUGUUGUUAGGAACCAAGUCUGUUAGUAUGAGAGCCAUAGGGUCCAAAUUGUGAGUGGAUUUCAGAGUGGGCAGAAAACAGUGCUACAAAUACGAAAAGCCCGAAGAUGUUCACGUUCGUAUCUUUAAAAGUGUCUAAUAAGUCUCUAAUCUUUUAAUUUUGAGUCUAAUAAAUUCAUGAACUUUCAAUUUUG